CCUACGGGAGACAGCAGUAGGGAAUCUUCCACAAUGGGCGAAAGCCUGAUGGAGCAACGCCGCGUGGGUGAAGAAGGUCUUCGGAUCGUAAAACCCUAUUGUUAGAGAAGAAAGUGCGUGAGAGUAACUGUUCACGUUUCGACGGUAUCUAACAAGAAAGCCACGGCUAACUAGGUGCAAGCAGCCGCGGUAAGACGUAGGUGGCAAGCGUUAUCCGGAUGUAUUGGGCGUAAAGGGAACGCAGGCGGUCUUUUAAGUCUGAUGUGAAAGCCUUCGGGUUAACCGGAGUAGUGCAUUGGAAACUGGGAGACGUUAGUGCAGAAGAGGAGAGUGGAACUCCAUGUGUAGCGGUGAAAUGCGUAGAUAUAUGGAAGAACACCAGUGGCGAAAGCGGCUCUCUGGUCUGUAACUGACGCUGAGGUUCGAAAGCGUGGGUAGCAAACAGGAUUAGAUACCCCUGUAGUC
RNAcentral lists this ribosomal RNA (465 nucleotides) under uncultured bacterium. RNAcentral describes it as "partial 16S ribosomal RNA". It matches the Rfam family "Bacterial small subunit ribosomal RNA", at positions 338 to 795 of the family's 1533-position model. The record is from RNAcentral.